CCUACGGGUGGCAGCAGUGAGGAAUAUUGGUCAAUGGACGAGAGUCUGAACCAGCCAAGUAGCGUGAAGGAUGACUGCCCUAUGGGUUGUAAACUUCUUUUAUAUGGGAAUAAAAUGUUCCACGUGUGGGUUUUUGUAUGUACCAUAUGAAUAAGGAUCGGCUAACUCCGUGCCAGCAGCCGCGGUAAUACGGAGGAUCCGAGCGUUAUCCGGAUUUAUUGGGUUUAAGGGGAGCGUAGGUUGAUUGUUAAGUCAGUUGUGAAAGUUUGCGGCUCAACCGUAAAAUUGCAGUUGAAACUGGAAGACUUGAGUACAGUAGAGGUAGGCGGAAUUCGUGGUGUAGCGGUGAAAUGCAUAGAUAUCACGAAGAACUCCGAUUGCGAAGGCAGCUCACUGGACUGCAACUGACACUGAGGCACGAAAGUGUGGGUAUCAAACAGGAUUAGAUACCCUUGUAGUC
Molecule: ribosomal RNA, 460 nt
Filed under: uncultured bacterium
Lineage: Bacteria
Description: partial 16S ribosomal RNA
Rfam family: Bacterial small subunit ribosomal RNA
Source: RNAcentral